UACGUAGGGUGCAAGCGUUGUCCGGAAUUAUUGGGCGUAAAGAGCUCGUAGGCGGUCUGUUGCGUCCGCUGUGAAAACUCGGGGCUUAACCCCGAGCCUGCAGUGGAUACGGGCAGACUAGAGGUAGGUAGGGGAGAAUGGAAUUCCCGGUGUAGCGGUGAAAUGCGCAGAUAUCGGGAGGAACACCAAUUGCGAAGGCAGCUCGCUGGGACGUCACUGACGCUGAGACGCGAAAGCGUGGGGAGCAAACAGG
This 253-nucleotide ribosomal RNA is filed under the name uncultured bacterium. RNAcentral describes it as "partial 16S ribosomal RNA". It matches the Rfam family "Bacterial small subunit ribosomal RNA", at positions 524 to 776 of the family's 1533-position model. The record is from RNAcentral.